Molecule: ribosomal RNA, 465 nt
Filed under: uncultured bacterium
Lineage: Bacteria
Description: partial 16S ribosomal RNA
Rfam family: Bacterial small subunit ribosomal RNA
Source: RNAcentral
CCUACGGGAGGCUGCAGUGGGGAAUAUUGCGCAAUGGGCGAAAGCCUGACGCAGCGACGCCGCGUGAGGGAUGAAGGUCUUCGGAUCGUAAACCUCUGUCAGCAGGGAAGAACGGUCACUGUGCUAAUCAGCAGUGAAUUGACGGUACCUGCAAAGGAAGCACCGGCUAACUCCGUGCAAGCAGCCGCGGUAAUACGGAGGGUGCGAGCGUUAAUCGGAAUUACUGGGCGUAAAGGGCUCGUAGGCGGUAUGUCAAGUCAAGGGUGAAAUCCCCGCGCUCAACGUGGGAACUGCCUCUGAUACUGGCAAACUGGAGUGUGUGAGAGGAUAGUGGAAUGUAAGGUGUAGGAGUGAAAUCCGUAGAUAUCUGGAGGAACAUCAGUGGCGAAGGCGACUAUCUGGCACAUAACUGACGCUGAGGAGCGAAAGCGUGGGGAGCAAACAGGAUUAGAUACCCUGGUAGUC